AUGACCUGCCCUUUGCUGGUCCCUUGAGUCUACACCAAGCCAGCUGGACCUCAGUCUGACAAGGGCUGGGAGCCUCUGAUUGCAUGAAGGUGGGGUGAGAACUGUGACCUGCCAUAAGAAAAGGAAAAGUCGGUGCUUAUUCACCCAGUGAACCAGGAUAAAGAGUUCAAGGAGAGAACUUUGAUUAAGAAACAUGGGAG
Long non-coding RNA from Mesoplodon densirostris (Blainville's beaked whale), 200 nucleotides. RefSeq lists it as uncharacterized. The record is from RefSeq and is a predicted model, not a curated record. NCBI's taxonomy places the organism in Eukaryota, Metazoa, Chordata, Mammalia, Artiodactyla, Ziphiidae. The transcript is spliced from 3 exons.